Molecule: ribosomal RNA, 484 nt
Filed under: uncultured bacterium
Lineage: Bacteria
Description: partial 16S ribosomal RNA
Rfam family: Bacterial small subunit ribosomal RNA
Source: RNAcentral
AUUGAACGCUGGCGGCAGGCCUAACACAUGCAAGUCGAGCGGAUGAAGGGAGCUUGCUCCUGGAUUCAGCGGCGGACGGGUGAGUAAUGCCUAGGAAUCUGCCUGGUAGUGGGGGAUAACGUCCGGAAACGGGCGCUAAUACCGCAUACGUCCAGAGGGAGAAAGUGGGGGAUCUUCGGACCUCACGCUAUCAGAUGAGCCUAGGCUGGAUUAGCUAGUUGGUGGGGUAAAGGCCUACCAAGGCGACGAUCCGUAACUGGUCUGAGAGGAUGAUCAGUCACACUGGAACUGAGACACGGUCCAGACUCCUACGGGAGGCAGCAGUGGGGAAUAUUGGACAAUGGGCGAAAGCCUGAUCCAGCCAUGCCGCGUGUGUGAAGAAGGUCUUCGGAUUGUAAAACUCUUUUAGUUGGGAGGAAGGGCAGUAAGUUAAUACGUUGCUGUUUUGACGUUACCAACAGAAUAAGCACCGGCUAACUUCGUG